GACGAACGCUGGCGGCGUGCCUAAUACAUGCAAGUAGAACGCUGAAGGAGGAGCUUGCUUCUCCGGAUGAGUUGCGAACGGGUGAGUAACGCGUAGGUAACCUGCCUGGUAGCGGGGGAUAACUAUUGGAAACGAUAGCUAAUACCGCAUAACAGUAGAUGUUGCAUGACAUUUGCUUAAAAGGUGCAAUUGCAUCACUACCAGAUGGACCUGCGUUGUAUUAGCUAGUUGGUGGGGUAACGGCUCACCAAGGCGACGAUACAUAGCCGACCUGAGAGGGUGAUCGGCCACACUGGGACUGAGACACGGCCCAGACUCCUACGGGAGGCAGCAGUAGGGAAUCUUCGGCAAUGGACGGAAGUCUGACCGAGCAACGCCGCGUGAGUGAAGAAGGUUUUCGGAUCGUAAAGCUCUGUUGUAAGAGAAGAACGAGUGUGAGAGUGGAAAGUUC
This 451-nucleotide ribosomal RNA is filed under the name Streptococcus mitis. RNAcentral describes it as "bacterial SSU rRNA". It matches the Rfam family "Bacterial small subunit ribosomal RNA", at positions 28 to 465 of the family's 1533-position model. Lineage: Bacteria; Bacillati; Bacillota; Bacilli; Lactobacillales; Streptococcaceae. The record is from RNAcentral.